RNAcentral lists this ribosomal RNA (218 nucleotides) under uncultured bacterium. RNAcentral describes it as "partial 16S ribosomal RNA". It matches the Rfam family "Bacterial small subunit ribosomal RNA", at positions 118 to 354 of the family's 1533-position model. The record is from RNAcentral.
UGGGAACGUGCCCAUCGGUUCGGGAUAACCCAGGGAAACUUGGGCUAAUACCGGAUACGUGCGAGAGCAGAAAGAUUUAUCGCCGAUGGAUCGGCCCGCGUCUGAUUAGCUAGUUGGUGGGGUAAUGGCUCACCAAGGCGACGAUCAGUAGCUGGUCUGAGAGGAUGAUCAGCCACACUGGGACUGAGACACGGCCCAGACUCCUACGGGAGCAGCAG